This 7583-nucleotide long non-coding RNA is filed under the name Nicotiana benthamiana. Its description in RNAcentral is "long non-coding RNA (NBEN_LNC025873)". The record is from RNAcentral. Lineage: Eukaryota; Viridiplantae; Streptophyta; Magnoliopsida; Solanales; Solanaceae.
UCCGACGAACCUUCCCACAUCGCAUUUCUGUAGUAGCUUAGAGGCACCAGGUAUUUUGUCAACCCUUUCCUGGUGCUCUAUUAUUUGAUCGCGAAGUACUUUCUUCUUGUUCUACAUUUCUUUUAUUUUCUUUAGAAUGGUUGUGAGUGCACCGUCACUUGCAUCGAUGGCAGUACGGGCCCGUUUGCAUAGUGCUUGGCUCGCCAGUGGCAACUGCAAUUUUUGCAGUCGGCAAGUCAUUGACAUUUCCUUGAGGGGCGUUUUCGAGCAUGUUGCUUAGGGCACUUGUCAACCAUUCCUCUAGCAGCUUUUUGAUCGCUAGUGGUGUUUCUCUCGCUGUCGAUGUGGAGGCUCUUUUUUCAUGCAAGACCGUCAGAUCCUCGUGUGGAGAAGGUGAUAUCUCCCCCUCCGGUGUAUGUCUUGGUGUUGUAUUCUUGGUGUCUUCCCUACUUGCUUCGUUGAGGGAGCUUAAGAGGUUGUUUGAGACAUCUGCUAUCAUCUUCAACCUCGCUUCUUUUUUCGCCAUUGUUGGUUCUUAUGGGAUGUGAAGAACAAUAAUAGUUGUUUGUUUAUAUCCUAGAUGAGAACUAUGGUUUUGACUACGAAAAUUUCUACAGACGGCACAAAAUUGUUUGACUCAAAAGAUUUUUAACUUUUUUCAAGCAAAUCAAUCAAAGAUAAAGAGGGAUAAAUCAUAGUCGAAGAUAAUAAACUCUCGGAUCAGAAGUAUAUAGAGAGAUAAGGGGACAGAGUUCAUAAAAGUAGAGAGAGAGAGAGAGAGAGUAGUUUUGUAGAUCCCAAAGAUCUAUCCGUUACAAGCAUUAAAGUUCCCUUUAUAUACUGGGGGCGUUUUUCAUAAUUAUGGCAAAUUAAGGAUUAUCUACUGUGACAAAUCUAACAAUGGUGCAAGGACAUCUCCCUUUCCGCCCCUAGGUCAUUUCCUUAUGUCGACUCGUUGGUCAACGGUUACCUAUCGUGGUAGCUAUAAACCGUGGUUGUUCAUAUUUAGACCUGUAUAAACAAUACGAGUGAUUAUAUUACUUGGAUGUGUAUUCCGUUUAUUCUCUCUAAUUUUUAAAUAGAAUAUCAGUGAAAUUUACCACAACCAGAAAAUCACAGGGGUAAUAAAAUAAAGGGAAAAAUGUAUAUUAGAACCCACAUGCAUCAAAGAGUGGGGCUUCUCAACUUUGUUACUUUAGUCGUAUCUCAUAGAGAAAAAUAAAUAAAGUUUGUUGUCUUUGUUCUCGUUAUCCCACUACUAAAAAACAAAAAUUAUUCACGGACAAAUUCCGUAGUUGAAACGAAAAAUUUGUCGAUAAUAAUAUAUAUUUAGAGACGAAUUACUGACGAUUUAAUGACAUAUUAGCAAUAAAUUUCGUAGCAAUUUUUUUGUAAUGUCUAUUCCUUUCUCUAAAAUUAUCUGUUGUAAUUUCCAAAAUUAGUAUCUCAAAUAUUUGUUCUUUUAGAAGUUUAAAAUAAAAUUAAUUAUAAUUUCUCAUUUUACCUUUAGUAGUAAUUGUACUUAAAGAUGGAGAUGGUACGUAUAACAACAACAACAAUAAACCUAGUGUAAUCCCAUAAAUGAGAUUUAGGGAGGGUAUUAUGUACGGAGACCUUACAUCUACCUUAUAAAGAUAGAGAAAUUGUUUUCGAUAGACCCUCGCCUUAGGGAACAAUGGAGAUAAGAUAAAGGAUCCAAGUAGCAAACAAUGGUAACAACAAUGUAGUAUGAUAAUGAUCGCGAAUGACACAUCAUGUAAUAAUACCAUGAUAAGAUAAUACAAAAAUAAUCCUAAUAUUACUGGUAAGUUUAGGAGGAACACACUACUAUCAAUCAACCACAACCCAAGCCUCGAUCUUCACACCUUUCUAUCAUAGGCUAUAUCCUCGGUAAGCUGAAGCAACGUCAUGCCAUGCCUAAUUACCUCUCCUCAAUACUUCUUCGACCUACCUUUCCCUUCAUUAGACCCGUCAUGGACAACCUCUCACACUCCUGACCAGAGAACCUCUACCUCUCCUCUUCACAUGCCCGAACCAUCUCAACCUCCAUUCCUGCAACUUGUCCUUCACAGAUGCCACUCCUACCUUGUACCUAAUAGCUUUAUUCCUAAUCCUCUCCUUCCUGGUAUGCCCACAGAUCCAUCGAUCUCAAUAUCCUCAUUUCAGCUACUUUUAUCUUCUGGACAUGGGAUUUCUUAACGGGCCAAUACUCAGCCCCAUACAACAUAGUUGGUGUAACCAUCACUCUAUAGGACUUACUCUUAAGUCCGGGUGGCACAUUCUUAACAUACAAAACCCCCCGAGGCGAGCCCCCAUCUCAUCCAUCCCCCUCCAAUGCGAUGAGUAACAUCCUCGUCAAUCUCCCUGUUGUCUUGAAUAAUAGACCCACGAUACUUAAAACUAUCUUUUCUGGGGAUGACUUGAAUAUCAAUUUUCACUUUCACUUCUUCUUCAUGCAUCCCAUCGCUGAACUUGCACUCCAAGCACUUGACCUAAUCAACUUAAAAUCUUUAGACUCCAGCGUUUGUCUCCAAACUUUCAAUCUAGCGUUAACUCCACCCACAUUUCGUCAAUCAUAACUAUGUCAUCAACAAAUAGUAUACACCAUGACAUUUCUUCUUGUACCAUAUUAAAUGGAAAUGGUACAUAAAUAAAAUAAAUAUUUAAUGAAGAUAGAUUAUAUCUUAAGAUAUUAAUAAGGUUAAUAUAAUAAAAAAAUCUUCUAAUUAAUGUUUCUUAAGGGUCAUGUAAAAGAGAAAUAUGAUAGAUAAUUUGAAAAAGAUAAGCAGUAUAUAAGUAUAUAUGUAAAGGAAAAUGCACUAUCUUUAAACACUUGUUGUAACUGUGUGAUAGAGAAACUAAUUGAGUCAAAGGUAUUAUUGGAAUAAUAGUAUCGUAUCAUACAUCGCAGUGUGAUUGACUUACAAGCUAACGUGGUACUUUACUUAAAGUUUUUACAGAUUUACAAGCUAACGAGGUACUUUAUUUAAAGAUUUUACACACAAUUCCAGAAAUAAAGCCAAAUAAAAAGGUGAUAUGCGGAAGCAAUGCUUUAUAUUACGCCAGAGCCAACUAUAGAUACAGUGUAUUUAUAAACGCCAUUGACUUUUACUGAUGAUGAAUUUUUCUAUUAUCAUAAUUUGCAUACACCUCAAUUAGUUUUACAGAAUAUUUACUAUCUCCCAACAAUAGAAGUAUCGAUUAGUUUCGUUCACCAAGAAGAAAUUAUCUAAUAUUUUUGACACUUGAAUAGAUAAGAAGAAAUUAUAUAAUAUUUUUGUUGUUGGCUGAAAUAUGAACGUAAAAUUUUAUGAGUCUCAAUUUACUUGAUUGACUAGUAAGCCACACUUUUGGUGAUGGUUGUUGCUAUUGGAAAAAGACUUAAGUAAACGUAUAAUCAAUGAAAUAACAUACUUAGAUAAACGUAUAAUUCUGAGUAAAUAAUAAGUGUAUUACCUAAGUGUUAAUUUAUUAGUUGGAAUAAUUUUAUUUCCUAGCCGACUACCACUUUUGUUUGCGGUCAAUAAUUUAAUUCAUUUCACACUUCAAUUAAAGAUACACAUCAUGACAGCAAUGGAAACAGCUAUAUCAUGAUUUUACAACUAUGGAAUAUGAAAAUUCCCAGCAAGAGUACAAUUAUGACAGUUAAUAUCUAAUGUGCACUAAAAUAAUCAAUCAUUAACAUGUAAAACCAAUCAGAAAUUGCCACUUUAACUAGCUAAUCAUCCAAUCACGUGUCGUCAUUUCCAUUUGCACAUUCCACUGUCCCCCAAAUUCCAGUAAAUUUAUUUUUCAUUUUUAUUCUCAUUAAUUAUUUUUUUUUAUUUUUCAUCAUCUCCACUAAUAAACAUAAUUAACGGCUUUAACAGCUACCGUUCCCUAUUAAUGAGGCCCAAACAAAGGCCCACAAAAUCCGCGUGGUGUAAUUCAACCACCGUUCCAGGGGCACCAAUGUAAUUUCAGUUCCUUUCCACCUUCCCGCUAUAACACUCUCUCUGUUUCCCUUUUUCAUAUUUAUUUUAUUUUAUUUUUGGUGCAGUAAUAAAUAUGGAAGAGAAGAACAUUAGAUUUGCAUGAAAAAUAUUGUAGGGGUAGUGCGUGUAUAAAUACAUGUACACAAAAGGGAGACGAUACAGAUACGAUACUUCACUCUCAUCUUCACACGCUUUUCUCUUUCUCUCUCUAAAAAGUGUCUUCCGUUUCUCUCGUCUUCCUUUUCUUGUAGUUCGGGGGUUGGAUCCUUUAUUCGGUUCUGGCAAAUCUGUAAGCAAAUUACUCUUAUUCUUAUAUUUUAAUUCUUGUUUGCAAUUAAUGAUUUUGGGCUAGAUCUGGGUUUUGAAUGCAGUUAUGCUUUGAUUCCAAUUUAUUGCCAUUGCAAACUUAUGAUCCCAGAUCUAUUAUGGAUAAGCAAGCAUGCAUCAUAUUGUGGACCACACAUUUGAAAUGCUGAUGAGCAAUGGGAAUGUUGUGUUUUGCUGAAUAUUAUGUUGGAUCUGAUGAUCCGUGUUUUUUUUUCCAAUUUCAAUUUUGUGCCGGUUUUUCUAAAUUUCCAUUAGUUUGUGAUUUGUCACAUAAUUAAUUGAUUUAUUCAUAAUUUUUGCUGGUAUUUAUAAUAUUCUGGCUAUAUUUUAUUGCUGAUCCAGGGAAAUUAUUUAUUAAUUCAUGUAUAUUCACUCUCAUUGUUUAUCUUGCUUUUACCUACUACAACCCCCCACAUAGUCAGAUUUAUGAUAUUGGGCACCUUUUCAGAAUCCGGGUUGUUGAACUUUUUUAAUGUUCUGGGGCUUGUUUUUGGUUAAUAUUUUUGUCGGUGUAUAGUUGUUUAUUAGUUCUCAAACAUUCUCUGUUGUUACCUGGUUACUUAUUAAUCUAUUUAAAAAAUUCAUUUUUAUGUCCUUUUUCCCUUUACGCCUUCUUUUAAGCUUUAGGUUUGCAGUUGUUAAUAGAUUAAAUUUUUUUUGUUUCUUGCAGGAUUUGAGUUGCUAUUAAACUGAGAAUAUUGAUUUGAAAUUCGUUAGCUGAAGAACCUGCAUCAAGAUGUCGACCUACACUCCUAAGAAUAUACUCAUUACUGGGGCCGCAGGGUUUAUUGCAUCUCAUGUUGCCAACCGCCUUGUUCGGAGUUACCCUGACUACAAAAUUGUUGUGCUUGACAAGCUUGAUUAUUGUUCCAACCUGAAAAACCUUAAUCCAUCUCGAUCCUCCCCUAAUUUCAAGUUUGUUAAGGGAGACAUUGGCAGUGCUGAUCUUGUUAACUACCUUCUCAUCACUGAGUCCAUUGACACUAUAAUGCACUUUGCUGCUCAGACCCAUGUUGACAACUCCUUUGGUAAUAGCUUUGAGUUCACCAAGAACAACAUUUAUGGUACACACGUGCUAUUAGAGGCUUGCAAAGUUACUGGUCAGAUCAGAAGGUUUAUCCAUGUCAGCACGGAUGAGGUUUACGGGGAGACUGAUGAGGAUGCCGUUGUGGGAAACCAUGAAGCCUCACAACUCCUUCCUACGAACCCAUAUUCAGCCACUAAAGCUGGGGCUGAAAUGCUUGUUAUGGCAUAUGGGAGAUCAUAUGGAUUGCCUGUUAUAACCACUAGAGGGAAUAAUGUAUAUGGUCCCAAUCAAUUUCCUGAGAAGUUAAUCCCAAAGUUUAUAAACCUAGCCAUGAGGGGGAAACCUCUUCCUAUUCACGGAGAUGGUUCAAAUGUUAGAAGUUAUUUGUACUGUGAGGAUGUUGCUGAGGCUUUCGAGGUCGUUCUUCACCGAGGAGAGGUUGGUCAUGUUUAUAACAUUGGAACUAAGAAAGAGAGGAGGGUGAUUGAUGUUGCCAAAGAUCUAUGCAAGCUUUUUAACAAGGAUCCAGAUGCAAGCAUUCAGUUUGUGGAGAACAGGCCCUUCAAUGACCAGAGGUAUUUUCUAGAUGAUCAGAAGUUGAAGAACUUGGGUUGGUCAGAGGGGACCACGUGGGAAGAGGGUCUGAAAAAAACCAUGGACUGGUAUAUCAGUAAUCCUGAUUGGUGGGGAGAUGUCUCUGGAGCAUUGCUUCCCCAUCCUAGAAUGCUGAUGAUGCCUGGUGGGGUAGAGAGAGGAGCUGAAAAAGAUGAUUCGGGGUCAUCUGAGUGCUCUGGAAACCCGAAAAAGAUGAUUCGGGAUCAUCUGAGUGCUCUGGAAACCCCAACCAGACCCGGAUGGUAGUUCCAGCUUCCAAGAUCGGCAACCCCCCUAAUGAAUCACCUUAUAAGUUUUUGAUUUAUGGUAGGACUGGUUGGAUUGGUGGUCUGCUAGGCAAGCUUUGUGAGAAACAGGGAAUUCCUUAUGAGUAUGGAAGGGGACGUCUGCAGGAUCGCUCACAACUUUUGGCAGACAUUCACGCUGUCAAGCCCACACAUGUAUUCAAUGCUGCUGGUGUCACCGGUAGACCUAACGUUGAUUGGUGUGAGAGUCAUAAAACUGAAACAAUUCGUACAAAUGUUGCUGGAACUCUAAACUUGGCUGAUGUUUGUAAAGAGCAUGGUUUACUGAUGAUGAAUUUUGCAACUGGUUGCAUAUUUGAAUAUGAUGCUGCACACCCAGAAGGUUCUGGUAUUGGAUUCAAAGAGGAAGACACGCCCAAUUUCGCUGGAUCUUUCUAUUCAAAGACCAAGGCUAUGGUUGGUACUCCUUAAGACUCUGUUUGCAUGUGUGUAUUCUUUUACAAAUAUUGAUACUGUUUGUUUCUUUCUUUCACCAGGUUGAAGGGUUGCUGAAAGAAUACGAGAAUGUUUGCACCCUCAGAGUCCGGAUGCCAAUAUCUUCAGACCUCAGCAACCCCCGGAAUUUCAUUACCAAGAUUAGUCGCUACAAUAAGGUGGUCAAUAUUCCCAACAGCAUGACAAUUUUGGAUGAGCUUCUUCCAAUUUCAAUUGAGAUGGCAAAACGUAAUCUCAAGGGCAUAUGGAAUUUCACAAAUCCCGGUGUUGUGAGCCACAAUGAGAUUUUGGAGAUGUUCAAGAAAUAUAUAAACCCAGACUUUACGUGGGCCAAUUUCACAUUGGAAGAACAGGCUAAGGUAAUUGUUGCAGCUCGCAGUAACAAUGAGAUGGAUGCUUCAAAGUUGAAAAAGGAGUUCCCUGAGUUGCUGCCAAUCAAGGAAUCAUUGGUCAAAUAUGUGUUUGAACCAAAUAGAAAAACUGCUGCUUAAUAAGCCUUAGGUUAUAAUAUCUAAGGAAUCAUUGGUCAAAUAUGUGUUUGAACACCAAAUAGAAAAACUGCUGCAUAAUAAGCCUUGGAUUAUUGAGAUCAGACUUCUGGUUUGGAUCAAUAUGCCACUUGACUUUGUAUCCUAGUUUAGUCAUUAUUCGUCAUUAGUAGCCAAUAUUUUCUAUUGUUUAGAUUCUUACCGGUGAUUAGAAUUCCUAUGCUUGGUUGUAUGAGUUAAUAAUGUUUAAUGUGCUAUGAGGAAGCUUUGGAUAGGAGUUCCCCAUGUAUCUGUUAUCAACCCUGUGUGCUAAGGGUUUAUUUACUGAAUCUAAUAUAUAUGGAAUUAUGAAUUGUUUUUUGCUCCAUGUCAUAGUGAUCUUUUUCUCUUACACAUUUGAGUGGAAAGUUGC